Molecule: RNA transcript, 901 nt
Organism: Sapajus apella (tufted capuchin)
Lineage: Eukaryota; Metazoa; Chordata; Mammalia; Primates; Cebidae
Gene name: meiotic nuclear division protein 1 homolog pseudogene
Exons: 1
Source: RefSeq, a predicted model, not a curated record
AAGAAGCCCUCACCCCGUGCGCAGGCCCCGCCAGCGGAAGCCCCCGUGCCGGCACCAUGUCAAAGAAAAAAGGAUUGAGUGCAGAAGAAAAGAGAACUUGCAAGAUGGAAAUAGUUUUUGAAACAAAAGAUGUAUUUCAAUUAAAAGACUUGGAGAAGAUUGCUCCCAAAGAGAAAGGCGUUACUUCUAUAUCAGUAAAAGAAGUCCUUCAAAGCUUAGCUGAUGGUGGUAUGGUUGACUGUGAGAGGAUCAGAGCUUCUAAUUAUUAUUGGGCUUUUCCAAGUAAAGCUCUUCAUGCAAGGAAACAUAAGUUGGAGGCUCCGGAAUCUCAGUUGUCUGAGGGAAGCCAAAAGCGUGCAAGCCUACAGAAAUGCAUUGAAAAAGCUAAAAUUGGCCAAUGUGAAACGGAAGAGCAAACCACGCUAGCAAAAGAACUUUCUUCACUUCGAGACCAAAGGGAACAGCUAAAGGCAGAAGUAGAAAAAUACAAAGAUUGUGACCCACAAGUCGUGGCAGAAAUACGCCAAGCGAACAAAAUAGCCCAAGAAGCUGCUAACAGAUGGACUGAUAACAUAUUUGCAAUAAAAUCUUGGGCCAAAAGAAAAUUUGGGUUUGAAGAAAAUAAAAUUAAUAAAACUUUUGGAAUUCCAGAAGACUUUGACUACAUAGACUAAAAUAUUCCAUGGCGGUGAAGGAUGUAAAUUUUAAACUAUUAUCUAAAUAAGUGUACUGAAUGGUCAUUUGCCUGCAACUAUAUGUAUCCUUUUGUUAAUGUUAAAUAACGUGUAAAAUGCAAAAAAAAAAAAAAAAAAAAAAAAAGAAGUUGGUGUCUGUGAUGAAUGGUCCUCAUCAGGCACCAAACCUCCUGGUGCUUGAUUUUGGCCUUCCCAGCCUCCAGAAU